RNAcentral lists this ribosomal RNA (357 nucleotides) under uncultured bacterium. Its description in RNAcentral is "bacterial SSU rRNA". It matches the Rfam family "Bacterial small subunit ribosomal RNA", at positions 29 to 414 of the family's 1533-position model. The record is from RNAcentral.
AGCGAACGCUGGCGGCAGGCCUAACACAUGCAAGUCGAACGAUCCCUUCGGGGAUAGUGGCAGACGGGUGAGUAACGCGUGGGAACGUGCCCUUUGGUUCGGAACAACACAGGGAAACUUGUGCUAAUACCGAAUGUGCCCUUCGGGGAAGGAUUAUCGCCAUUGAGCGGCCCGCGUUGGAUUAGGUAGUUGGUGAGGUAAAGGACUCACCAAGCCUACGAUCCAUAGCUGGUCUGAGAGGAUGAUCAGCCACACUGGGACUGAGACACGGCCCAGACUCCUACGGGAGGCAGCAGUGGGGAAGUCUUGCGCAAUGGGCGAAAGCCUGACGCAGCCAUGCCGCGUGAAUGAUGAAGG